RNAcentral lists this ribosomal RNA (405 nucleotides) under uncultured microorganism. RNAcentral's name for it is "bacterial SSU rRNA". It matches the Rfam family "Bacterial small subunit ribosomal RNA", at positions 9 to 409 of the family's 1533-position model. The record is from RNAcentral.
GAGUUUGAUCGUGGCUCAGAUUGAACGCUGGCGGCAUGCCUUACACAUGCAAGUCGAACGGCAGCAUGAUCUAGCUUGCUAGAUUGAUGGCGAGUGGCGAACGGGUGAGUAAUACAUCGGAACGUGCCCUGUAGUGGGGGAUAACUAGUCGAAAGAUUAGCUAAUACCGCAUACGACCUGAGGGUGAAAGUGGGGGACCGCAAGGCCUCAUGCUAUAGGAGCGGCCGAUGUCUGAUUAGCUAGUUGGUGGGUAAAGGCCGACCAAGGCGACGAUCAGUAGCUGGUCUGAGAGGACGAUCAGCCACACUGGGACUGAGACACGGCCCAGGACUCCUACGGGAGGCGAGCAGUGGGGAAUUUUGGACAAUGGGGGCAACCCUGAUCCAGCAAUGCCGCGUGUGUGAG